GAUGAACGCUGACAGAAUGCUUAACACAUGCAAGUCGAUGGGGAAGUGGUGCUUGCACCAUGGUAACCAUGGCGGACGGGUGAGUAACGCGUAAGGAACUUGCCUGCGGGACUGGGAUAACAGCAGGAAACUGCUGAUAAUACCGGAUAAGGUCAUUAAGCUGUAUAGCUUAGUGAUGAAAGGAGACGCCUGCGGAGAGCCUUGCGUCCUAUUAGCUAGUUGGAGGGGUAACGGCCCACCAAGGCGAAGAUAGGUAGCCGGCCUGAGAGGGUGGACGGCCACAAGGGGACUGAGAUACGGCCCUUACUCCUACGGGAGGCAGCAGUGGGGAAUAUUGGACAAUGGGGGCAACCCUGAUCCAGCAAUUCUGUGUGCACGAAGACGGUUUUCGGAUUGUAAAGUGCUUUCAGCAGGGAAGAAGGAAGUGACGGUACCUGCAGAAGAAGCGACGGCUAAAUACGUG
Molecule: ribosomal RNA, 463 nt
Filed under: uncultured bacterium
Lineage: Bacteria
Description: partial 16S ribosomal RNA
Rfam family: Bacterial small subunit ribosomal RNA
Source: RNAcentral